Non-coding RNA from Leptonychotes weddellii (Weddell seal), 1238 nucleotides. NCBI's taxonomy places the organism in Eukaryota, Metazoa, Chordata, Mammalia, Carnivora, Phocidae. The record is from RefSeq and is a predicted model, not a curated record.
GAAAAGUAGUAAAAUCUUUAUAAAAUUGUAUGCAUUGCUCCCACAACGCACCCUUGGAAAUCAAACAGAGAAACUAUCCCCUGAGCCCCGCCACCUUCAUGGGUAUCUACUGGUCUCCCUCCAGCACCUGGCCGGCUGCCUUGUGCGUGCCAGGCCGCAUCCCAAGUUCUACCGAAUGCCUUACUUGUAUCUGUUCUGUUUGAGCAGAAAGGAAUUUAAAGGAGAUUCCCAGAAUUACAAAAUCUGGACAACUUUCUGGUUAUGAAAGCAAAUGUACACGAGGAAAGGAAGUUAAAUGUUCCUCAAAACACUUGACACUGAGGCACAGAGUCCCCAGAAGAGGUUGUGCAGAGCCAGCCCCACGCCUUCUACUCUAAGGUGAGCGACUGAACUGGUCCAGAGUGAGUGUGUCCUGUGGCCUGUGGCCUGCUGGUUUCGGGGAGCUCUUGUGAUGACACACAGGAUUCCUCCACCGAGGGCUUUUCCAGUAACUUUCGUGAGUACAAGAAUUAUGGGUUGUGCCAGUUACAAGCCCCUGUGGCCGCUCGGGUGCAUGUUCAGAGCCCAGACACCUCAGCUUCCUCAUCUGUGGUUUUCUUCAUUACGGGUUUGAAUCUGUCAUCCACUGUCCAUGUGCCCAUGCAAAAUAGGUUAUUUCAGCAUACAUGGAACACAGCGGCGUUAAUGCUUCUAGAGAGGUCACUCCCGAGGAAGCCUGAAGGCCAGCAAGCGUAAGUGGACAGGGCCCUGGGGCCAGGCACUCACCCUGUUGUGUCACGAGUUCCCGUCACAUCCCGAGCUCAGUGCAUCUCCUUCCAGGGAAGCCUGAGUCUGCCCAGGCCUGGAGGACGGCAUGGUGAGAAGGAGGGGUCUCCACGAAGCUGGGCCUCCGCACAUCACACAGAGGGCAGACAAGCACAGCUUUACCCUCUUUCCACAGGUGUGGAAUAGAGACAGAGCCUUACUGGUGGCGCUGGCCAGGACUCGGCACUUUUCCUGAGGACCAAGGCUGGUGAGGACCCAGCUCAGCUAGGAGAGCAUUUCCUUAUCGACACGGGGAGUCCACUACAUGGAUUCUGCAGAUGCAAAGUCUAAAUAGCAGUCAACGCUGUAAAGCAUAGGAGGAAAGCGGCAGGUGCAUUUAAAGGGUGGUCCCCGCCAGCCAAGCCUACCACCAGCCUCCAGGCAGGGUGCGAGACACCAUCUGCUGGACGAAAGGAAUGGUGAGAAACUGCACU